CAAAGUGCGCAUGUUCCAAGCAUGAUGGUGAAAAGAGAUGGCGGAGGAUGAAGAAGAUGACCCGGUCGUUGCGGAGGUGGACGUUUAUUUGGCCCAGACUUUGGCCAACAAGCUCUACUUGUUUCAGUACCCAGUACGUCCUGGUGAUAUACCUUAUGACAAUAUACCUCAUA
Orbicella faveolata is the source of this 173-nucleotide long non-coding RNA. Lineage: Eukaryota; Metazoa; Cnidaria; Anthozoa; Scleractinia; Merulinidae. The record is from RefSeq and is a predicted model, not a curated record.